Canis lupus familiaris (dog) is the source of this 1356-nucleotide long non-coding RNA. RefSeq lists it as uncharacterized. The record is from RefSeq and is a predicted model, not a curated record. Lineage: Eukaryota; Metazoa; Chordata; Mammalia; Carnivora; Canidae. The transcript is spliced from 3 exons.
UCCUUUGAUGCUGCCUUUCACUGGCCCUGGUGAGCAACCCUCAGCUGCGUUCAUGGCUCUUUGACACAGCAGUUCACCCGGAAAGAACGCAGUGUUCUUCCAAGUGGCACUCACCCUGAGCCUGACCACCGGAAAAGUCACUGUUUCUCUGAAUAUUUAAUCACAUAGAAGAGCUUUUCCAAGCCUCAGUAAGGUUGUUGAAAAAACAUAGAUCUGCUUAUAAAUAAGCACAGGUAAUGAUGGGAUGUGUGCAGGGAGGAGUCAGAGGGAGCAGGGCCUUCAGCGGAAUGAAUGAUGGCAACUUUGGGACUAUAUUAUUGCUGCAGGGCUACAAUUUCCAGAGAGAAGUUGAACUGGAAAGAGAGGAUAACAAAAGGUAGGCCAGGAGAAGAUGAUAAAUAAGCCACCAAAAUUGCACACAAAAUAUUGACCCCAAGGAAUAAAUACUUACCAGUGGAUGUCCUGUGACAGAAGAAGGCCUUGAUUUUUGCAUUUUGGAACCAGAAAGCCACUGAUCCAUGUAGUCUUGACAUCGUCUAUGAGUGUAAGAAGUGAAACCUCACACUCAAGAGCAGUGGUUUUGUGAGCCUAACAGCAGCAGUAAAAAGGAAGAAUGAGGCUUUGAGUCUGGAUGCCUACUCUGCGUAUUUGAAACUUGUUUAUUCUCUAUUACCUAUGCCCCUUGAUAUUAUGUUGCUUUUAGGGUAUUGGCAAGGAGAAUGGACAGGAUGCUGCAUAUCAAUGAAUUUCUGGGACUAGAAAAGAACUUUUAUCAAGUAUUGAUUUAAUUCAUCUAGGGAAGGAUAGGGCUAAGAGCCCAGAUAUUCAAAAAAUAUAUAUAAAUAUAUAGUAUAAGUAUAUACCUUGAAUUACAUAUAGUAGAGCACUUACCUUUGGAAGGUGAAGUCUUACAUUGUGGAUGAAGUAUUCAGCAUAAUGCGGAGAACAAGAUCACUGACCCAUGGGGAGCUCCAAACAAACCUGAUGGGAGGAACGAGAAUCAUCCGGAAAUACUCAACUUUGAACCAGAUUCAAGGACUGGAUGGGCAUUUGGGUUAUCUCCUUGCACAGGGGAAAGAUAAAAUUAAUAUUUCAUGAUGAGAAAGGUAACUGUCUCUGAAGUGUAAACCCUCUGAGGAAUUCAUACACUGGAUUCAGUCAAACUCUCAUCUAUAUGCACCGAAGGCAUUUUCUCCUGAGGUUAAGGGUCAAACCUGGGCUUAUUAUUACUGAGAUGUGUUCUUAGAAAAGCCAGGUCUUCGAUUAUAGCUUAUGAUCUCUAUAGUGUUCCACUUAGAUGUUAGAGCAUGAAGAUUUCUCUAAUGUUCUUGAGAAUUCAGCUAAGCAAAUAAACUU